GCUAAUUUAAUUUUUUUUAAAAAUUAAAUAAUUGAAAAAAUUAUUUUUUGUUUAAAUUGAUUAUCAUUAAAUUUUUUAAAAUUGGAACUGUAAUGGGGGUUAAAUUGAUCCAGGAAGAAGAAAAUUUUUAAAUUGUACCUUUUGUGUCAGGGUUGAUUAAUUUAUUAUAGUUAUUUAUCUUUCCCGAAAGGUUAGGAUCUUAAUUAAUUUGGUUUUUGUUGUGGUAUAAUCAUUGGUUAAUUUAAUUAAGAUUUGAAAUGAAAAUCGUUUAAUUUGAUAUCUGGUUAUUUUGGAAAUAAAUUUAAUUUAGGGGUAUUUAUCAGUUAAAAAUUUAUUUUUAUUAAAAACUUUAAACACUAAAUUAAACUGGGUUAAUCUGGUUUAAAUUUUAUAAAUAUUGAUUUCGAGGACGUUGUAGGAUUAAAAUUUUUUUUCUAUAGAAGUUUAUUAUAAAUUAUUCCUUAAAUUUUAAAAAUUUUAAUUUGUUACAAAAUUAACAAAUUGAAUUUUCUUAUUUGUUAAAAAUGAUUAAAUUAGUAAACUUAAAAUUUAAUUUUAUGAACUCGGCAAGUUGUUUUUCUGUCUGUUUAUCAAAAACAUUUCUUUUAGUUUAAUAUUAAAAGUUGGGCCUGCUCAAUGAAUAUUUUAAAUAGCUGCAGUAUUUUAACUGUACAAAGGUAGCGUAGUAAUUAGUCUUUUAAUUGAGGUCUUGAAUGAAUGGUUUAACAAGAUGAAACCUUUAUUAAUUUAAUUAGAUGAAUUUUAUUUUUUAGUUAAAAAGCUAAAAUUUUAAAAUGGGACGAUAAGACCCUAUAGAUCUUUAAAUUUUUAUUUUAUAAAUUUAUUUUGGUUAAUUUAAGCUUUAUGAGUAAAAAUUUUUUGUUGGGGUGACAAAUAAAUUUUUAUAACUUUAAGGCUUUUUUACAUAUGUAAAUGGAUUAAAUGAACCUAAAUUUAGGGUUGUUAAAAUAAGAUACCUUAGGGAUAACAGCGUUAUAAAUUUGUAUAGUUCUUAUAGAUAAAUUUGUUUGCGACCUCGAUGUUGAAUUAAUCUUAAGUUUUGGGGCAGAAAUUAAAAGUUUUGGUCUGUUCGACCUUUAAAAGAUUACGUGAUUUGAGUUCAAACCGGUGUGAGCCAGGUUGGUUUCUAUCUAUUUUGAAGUUUGUUUAAUUAGUACGAGAGGACUCUUAAGUCAGAAAAAAUUUCU
Molecule: ribosomal RNA, 1208 nt
Filed under: Chloriona tateyamana
Lineage: Eukaryota; Metazoa; Arthropoda; Insecta; Hemiptera; Delphacidae
Description: 16S ribosomal RNA
Rfam family: Archaeal large subunit ribosomal RNA (bases 794-1156)
Source: RNAcentral